GAUGAACGCUGGCGGCGUGCCUAACACAUGCAAGUCGAACGAAGCGCUUGAAGUUUUCGGAUGGAGAGUGACUGAGUGGCGGACGGGUGAGUAACGCGUGGAUAACCUGCCUCAUACAGGGGGAUAACAGUUAGAAAUGACUGCUAAUACCGCAUAAGCGCACAGUACCGCAUGGCACGGUGUGAAAAACUCCGGUGGUAUGAGAUGGAUCCGCGUCUGAUUAGCUAGUUGCGGGUAACGGCCACAAGGCGACGAUCAGUAGCCGACCUGAGAGGUNACCGGCACAUUGGGACUGAGACAC
Molecule: ribosomal RNA, 301 nt
Filed under: uncultured bacterium
Lineage: Bacteria
Description: bacterial SSU rRNA
Rfam family: Bacterial small subunit ribosomal RNA
Source: RNAcentral